Molecule: ribosomal RNA, 425 nt
Filed under: uncultured bacterium
Lineage: Bacteria
Description: partial 16S ribosomal RNA
Rfam family: Bacterial small subunit ribosomal RNA
Source: RNAcentral
GUGGGGAAUCUUCCGCAAUGGGCGAAAGCCUGACGCAGCCAUGCCGCGUGAAUGAUGAAGGUCUUAGGAUUGUAAAAUUCUUUCACCGGGGACGAUAAUGACGGUACCCGGAGAAGAAGCCCCGGCUAACUUCGUGCCAGCAGCCGCGGUAAUACGAAGGGGGCUAGCGUUGCUCGGAAUUACUGGGCGUAAAGGGAGCGUAGGCGGAUAGUUUAGUCAGAGGUGAAAGCCCAGGGCUCAACCUUGGAAUUGCCUUUGAUACUGGCUAUCUUGAGUAUGGAAGAGGUAUGUGGAACUCCGAGUGUAGAGGUGAAAUUCGUAGAUAUUCGGAAGAACACCAGUGGCGAAGGCGACAUACUGGUCCAUUACUGACGCUGAGGCUCGAAAGCGUGGGGAGCAAACAGGAUUAGAAACCCUUGUAGUCC